Molecule: non-coding RNA, 47 nt
Organism: Sus scrofa (pig)
Lineage: Eukaryota; Metazoa; Chordata; Mammalia; Artiodactyla; Suidae
Source: Rfam
AAAGAGGUUUUUUUAAAAACCACAUUUCUUAUAGAAACAGAAAAAGU